RNAcentral lists this ribosomal RNA (327 nucleotides) under uncultured eukaryote. Its description in RNAcentral is "partial 18S ribosomal RNA". It matches the Rfam family "Eukaryotic small subunit ribosomal RNA", at positions 1470 to 1796 of the family's 1831-position model. The record is from RNAcentral.
CCCUUAGAUGUUCUGGGCCGCACGCGCGCUACACUGACGAAUGCAACGAGCUUAUAACCUUGGCCGAAAGGUCUGGGUAAUCUCCAAAUUUCGUCGUGAUGGGGAUAGAUUAUUGCAAUUAUUAAUCUUCAACGAGGAAUGCCUAGUAAGCGCAAGUCAUCAGCUUGCGUUGAUUACGUCCCCGCCCUUUGUACACACCGCCCGUCGCUCCUACCGAUUGAAUGGUCCGGUGAAGCGUUCGGACCGUGGCCUUUGGACGGUUCGCCGUCUGUUGGCUGCGGGAAGUUCGUUAAACCUUAUCAUUUAGAGGAAGGAGAAGUCGUAACA